UGGGGAAUAUUGGACAAUGGGCGCAAGCCUGAUCCAGCAAUGCCGCGUGAGUGAAGAAGGUCUUCGGAUUGUAAAGCUCUUUCGACGGGGACGAUGAUGACGGUACCCGUAGAAGAAGCCCCGGCUAACUUCGUGCCAGCAGCCGCGGUAAUACGAAGGGGGCUAGCGUUGCUCGGAAUGACUGGGCGUAAAGGGCGCGUAGGCGGUUCGUACAGUCAGACGUGAAAUUCCCGGGCUCAACCUGGGGGCUGCGUUUGAUACGUACGGGCUUGAGUUCGGAAGAGGGUCGUGGAAUUCCCAGUGUAGAGGUGAAAUUCGUAGAUAUUGGGAAGAACACCGGUGGCGAAGGCGGCGACCUGGUCCGAUACUGACGCUGAGGCGCGAAAGCGUGGGGAGCAAACAGGAUUAGAUACCCUGGUAGUCCACGCCGUAAACGAUGUGUGCUGGACGUUGGGCAGUCUGACUGCUCAGUGUCGUAGCUAACGCGAUAAGCACACCGCCUGGGGA
RNAcentral lists this ribosomal RNA (507 nucleotides) under uncultured bacterium. RNAcentral describes it as "bacterial SSU rRNA". It matches the Rfam family "Bacterial small subunit ribosomal RNA", at positions 355 to 879 of the family's 1533-position model. The record is from RNAcentral.